RNAcentral lists this ribosomal RNA (984 nucleotides) under Staphylococcus aureus. RNAcentral describes it as "partial 23S ribosomal RNA". It matches the Rfam family "Bacterial large subunit ribosomal RNA", at positions 1919 to 2904 of the family's 2925-position model. The record is from RNAcentral. Lineage: Bacteria; Bacillati; Bacillota; Bacilli; Caryophanales; Staphylococcaceae.
CCCAGUAAACGGCGGCCGUAACUAUAACGGUCCUAAGGUAGCGAAAUUCCUUGUCGGGUAAGUUCCGACCCGCACGAAAGGCGUAACGAUUUGGGCACUGUCUCAACGAGAGACUCGGUGAAAUCAUAGUACCUGUGAAGAUGCAGGUUACCCGCGACAGGACGGAAAGACCCCGUGGAGCUUUACUGUAGCCUGAUAUUGAAAUUCGGCACAGCUUGUACAGGAUAGGUAGGAGCCUUUGAAACGUGAGCGCUAGCUUACGUGGAGGCGCUGGUGGGAUACUACCCUAGCUGUGUUGGCUUUCUAACCCGCACCACUUAUCGUGGUGGGAGACAGUGUCAGGCGGGCAGUUUGACUGGGGCGGUCGCCUCCUAAAAGGUAACGGAGGCGCUCAAAGGUUCCCUCAGAAUGGUUGGAAAUCAUUCAUAGAGUGUAAAGGCAUAAGGGAGCUUGACUGCGAGACCUACAAGUCGAGCAGGGUCGAAAGACGGACUUAGUGAUCCGGUGGUUCCGCAUGGAAGGGCCAUCGCUCAACGGAUAAAAGCUACCCCGGGGAUAACAGGCUUAUCUCCCCCAAGAGUUCACAUCGACGGGGAGGUUUGGCACCUCGAUGUCGGCUCAUCGCAUCCUGGGGCUGUAGUCGGUCCCAAGGGUUGGGCUGUUCGCCCAUUAAAGCGGUACGCGAGCUGGGUUCAGAACGUCGUGAGACAGUUCGGUCCCUAUCCGUCGUGGGCGUAGGAAAUUUGAGAGGAGCUGUCCUUAGUACGAGAGGACCGGGAUGGACAUACCUCUGGUGUACCAGUUGUCGUGCCAACGGCAUAGCUGGGUAGCUAUGUGUGGACGGGAUAAGUGCUGAAAGCAUCUAAGCAUGAAGCCCCCCUCAAGAUGAGAUUUCCCAACUUCGGUUAUAAGAUCCCUCAAAGAUGAUGAGGUUAAUAGGUUCGAGGUGGAAGCAUGGUGACAUGUGGAGCUGACGAAUACUAA